Long non-coding RNA from Bubalus bubalis (water buffalo), 1943 nucleotides. RefSeq lists it as uncharacterized. The record is from RefSeq and is a predicted model, not a curated record. Lineage: Eukaryota; Metazoa; Chordata; Mammalia; Artiodactyla; Bovidae. The transcript has 3 exons.
UUCUCCAGGCAGGAAUACUGGAAUGGGUUGCCAUGUUCUCCAGGGGAUCUUCCAGACCCAGGGACUAAACCUAUGUCUCUUGUGGCUCGUACAUUACUGGCAGAUGCCUUACUGCUGAGCCACUAGGGAAGCCCCUCUCUGCUUACCUUGCCCAUCUAUUCUUGCAUGCUGACUACUUUGUCCAUUAGUGCCCUUAACAUAUCAAUUAUAAGUUGCUUCAAAUUCCCAGUCUGAUAAUUCUAACAUCUCUGCCAUAACUGAGUCUGGUUCUGAUGCUUGCUUGCUCUGACCCUUCAAAGUGUGUUUUUAAUUUUAAAUUAAAAAACAUUUUUUUCUUGAUAGCCAGAUAUAAUGAAUUGGUUAAGAGGAACUGCUGUUCCUUUGGUGAUGUGGUGAAUUGCAGGGCAAGGGGAAGCAUUUUAUAAUCCUAAGAUUAGAGCUCAGUCUUUUAGUGAGGCUAUGGCUCUGAACUGUGAACUUCACAGGUACUUCUCAGCACUCCCCUCUCUUUAGGUGGGCAGGAUGGCUGGAGGGAGCUGGAGUUGGGGACUUCCUUUCUCCUAUGUGGAAGGCUACAGCCAGCUGAAGUCAGUUUGGAUCUGAUAAAGCUCCAGCAUGUGAGGCUCUGGUUAAAUAGUUUCUCUUGAGAGUGGAUCUUGUUAAGAACAGAAUGCUCAGAAGUAUUUCAAAAUGGUUCCUCUUCCCCUCCCCUUACCAGAAGCAUGGGGGAAUUUUUCUCCAGUGUUCACUGUAAGAAUCCAGUAGAGCUCCAGGAAGUAAAACUCACAGAAGUUUCAGGUGUCCUGAUGACUGGAUCCCUCUGGAAUUUUUGACUUGCCCGCACUGAGCCUCCAGUAAUUCAUCAGUUACAGUUCAGGUUUCCCUAACGUGGCGCUGGUUCCCAUGAAGGGUUCUUCCUUGGACACUAAUAAUCAUGCCAAGACCCUCUGUUAUUGCUACUCCACCCUGGGACAGCCAGUGUCUUCUGGGAGCAGGUGUGGUUAGCAGGUGGCUGUGUGCCUGGGUUCGCACCAGCAGAUGAGAGGAUUGGGGAGGCUCUUGCCCAGUGGAGCCAAUAACGUGGUCAAGAGAGACCCGACCUCAGGAAAGAGGAAGAGGCCCGAAUGAGCGAGCGGCAGGGGAAGCAGCAGCGGAAAUGCCAAGCGCUCCUGGAGCCCAUGAGAACAGAAAGCCGAGGUCAGGGAGCCCAUUCACCAGAGCAGAAGGGGAGCCUAAGAAGAACACACACAAAGCUGGAAAAAGAGAAAGCACAGCAUAUUUCCUUAGCAAGAAUGAGAAAGCCACUCACCCUUCUCCUCCCCUCCCCAAACACGCGUGGAGUUUGGUUUCACUCGUCUCUUUGAGGAGGUGUUCCCCUAUGCGCUCCGGCCUACCGAUUUACAAGAACAUGUAUUCAUCACUCCCAUUAAAAAGGAAUGUGAAUGUCACCCAUGCCUAGUUUCUCAAGUAGGGCAGGUUUGAGUACUUUAUUUCCUGCCACAUGAAGGUUUGCUGUCAAGCUGAGGUGAUCACAUGCAGUGGGCUGAGCAGAAGCAGACUGAGUCCAAACGCUGGCCCUGUCACUCUCAGUGUGACCUUGGAUAGGUUCUUCAUAGAGCUAAACACUCCGUUUUCUUAUAGUAUGAAUUAUAACAUUCCAGAUCCACAAUCCCUUUGUAGCAAUUCUGAAAUCCAAAGGGCUCCAAAACCACAGAUUUUUUUGUAAACUUGUACAAAAUUCAUUUGAUGGCAAAACCUGAUCUGAACUAAUAAUGUAAGACUUAGUUUUCAUUUAUCCCAUUAAACAUGAUUAUCUGGAAGUUUGCUGCAGGAACAUCAGUGUGUUUGAUAACGGAUGGAUAUUAUGGGGCUGUUAUCAAUAAUCCAGUAUAUGCACUGAUUUGUCUCUCCCAAAUAUGAACCAUUUUGAAUUCUGAAGCAUA